AUCAUCUUGGUGGAUUUCCUCCCAGUUACCAAACACUUCUAAUGAGCUGGCUUCUUUCAAAACCAAAAACUGUUUUCUAAAGCUGUUUGACGGUUCUGAGUAGAUAGAGCUUUGGGUCUUGAAGAGCAAUUGGUAUUCAUUUAUUUUGUUUUUCAAAAUCCGGGAAGAAUCAUCCUUUGAUAUGCAGCCAGAGCAACAGGUAAAAGAAGGAAACGUCAGGUCGCCCGACUGAAGCCUGAUAGACCUUUGUCAGCAUUUAAAUGCCCCCUGGGCAGUUUGCCUUCUAAAAUGGAGAUGGCCCAGCUCCACUAUUGAAUCUGACUUCCUUCUUCCUAAUCCUCACUGAAGACCCUCACCUGAGAUCCCGUAUUCAUUCCAAACUGGCUUUCGGAUCUAACCACGCAGCCUCUAAUCCUCAGGAGAAAAGAAUUUGUAAACCCAGGCUGAGUUCAUCCCCAGGACCCCAGUCUUACAAUCUGCAGAUCUGUGCAUUGUCCCCCCCAAACCCAGAUGACCCCAUGGCACUUGGGGAACAUGCUUGACCCAGCCUUACAGCCCUCCGGGUGAUGCAGCGUCGUGGACGACCACAGCCAUGCCCACUAAGCGCUCUGGAGCCAGGGGUGAUAGUCUUUGUGGAUCUGGAUCCCAGGGGAUGUCACUGAACCCUCCAAGUGCCAGGACUUACCUCAGGGGGGUUAGAAGUGGACACAGAGAGACAAAUAGAAUGGGGAGUGAUGUGAGCUGGAAUCACAGCCCCACUGGGAUGGGGGAACAUCUGAAAAUAAAAUUAACUUCUUAACAUCUUUUUUAAAAGGAUUUCAGAACAUCAUUUCACCAGACAGUACAUAUCAUUCCAUCAUAACAACCUUUAGAUUAUUGAGGAUUGAUGUCUUUCAAAAACGAGAAAUUGAGGUUUGGUGAGGUCCUAGUAAUGUUAUACUAAACUUGCCAAUGAAUACUGCUAAGAGUUUACAGAGCUGGAUGAGCACCGAUUGCCAGGUAGAAUGCAGAAUGUAGGAAGGUUUUGUGAAACUAGGCUUUGGAUUGGGGAUGCAAGAAUUUGCAGUUUCCAUAUGUUAAUUGGAAAUUUUAAAAAUUUCAAAGUAGCCCCAUAGAGAUGGAAAUAGACAAGAAGGAAAAAUGUAGUUCCAAAGGGACCGUUUUUCAAAUAAUUGCAUUUAAAGGGCUGUCAUCUGAGAGAAGGCUUAAAUUUAUGGUUUGACUUCCAACCAAAAGGAGAUAUUCCAGUGAAAGAAACUGUAGUUCAUCUUUGAGCACUCCACUAUGGAGAGAUCUUUCAUAAAGCAUUUCCACACUGAGAGGUAGUUUAGAGAAAUAACUCUUCCUUCACAGUGUUCACUGAGCCAUUCUGUGGAGCAAUGUUCAGAACAACUGCAGAGGUAUAACUUCUUUUUGGCCACACCAGAGUCAUGCAGAAGUUCCCAGGCCGGGGAUUGAAUCUGUGCCAUAGCAGUGACAAUGUCAGAUCCUUAACCCACUGAGCCACCAGGAGACUCCAUCUACAGAGGUAUAAUUAUAAUCCAUGAUGCUGACCCCCCACAAGGAGGAAAAGGAGAUGCCACAUUUGUGCCAUUGGGCAGUGUAUCCCAAACCUGAACUCUGCUGCCUUUUCCUAGGGUACCCAGAGUGAUUCGCCAUUUGGCUAUUGAAACCUUUCUCCUUAUGGAGAAAAAAAGAGGCAAAGAUCCCUCUUGGCCAACAGGAAGAAAGUAAAUGUGAAGGCAGCUGUUGGAAAGACCCAGCCUUACCUUAUGAUGCAACAUAGAGCAAUUGCAUCCAAAAAAUUCCAGAGCUUUGUCACAUGGCUAAAAUUGGAGAUGCUUUUUCAAGAAGUUAUCUGGUCUAGCUUUUCCAAGGCAAUGAGAUUCCACAGCUGUCAUUCAGUUUUCCUUUCUGUCUAACUCCUCAGCAGAAUCUUGUUGAAUAUCUGGGCUCCGUAGAUCUUCACCAAUUCAUAAACCUAGCAAAAUUGAUAGAACAGCGACUUCACACCACACCAGGUGCUGUUCUAUCCUUGGAGAUAGAAUAGUGAGUAAAAAAAGACUGGGCCUCAGGAGAAGUAUAAUCAAGCAUUAAUCAAACAAUCACACGAAUGAAGAUGUCACUAAGGAUGUGUUAAAGUUCUUUUAGGAGAACCCAUAGGAUGCUAUGAACAUACAUUUGACAAGCCUGACCAAACCUAAGAUAGACAGCCUGGGGGGCAAGGUUUCUGAGGUUGGGGUGGAGGUGCGGCAGCUAGUAACCUUCACUUGAGCAAGAGAAGAAUCCACUAAGGAGGUGAGGAGGCUGGGGAGUAUGUGGUAGUGACGAGAAGGGGCUGGAUUGGAGAAUUAUUAGACGGUCUAUUAUUAGGCUGUCUGAAAUCAUGACUGAUGCUUGGCAGUGUGCAGUGCAGAAAGGCAGGGUAUUAAGACUCCCUAUUUUCUGGUUAUGCAAUUGGGUGAGUGGUGUUGGUAUGUCCUGGGAUGGGAAACUCUGACUAAAUGUGGGGAAGAUCAUGGAUUUGAUUUGGAUGAGUUGGUUGGAGGUAGCUUUGAGAUACGUGUUCUAAUGGAGAUGCAAAUUCCUUGUCGGAUACUUGUGUGAUGAGAAUUUUUGACGUAUGAAUUAAAUAGUGCUAUUUUAGACUCUUCAAAAUAGCUCAAGUGAUUCGAUAAAGAGAACCUCAGUGCAAUCUCUUCCCUAAACUAACAAGCAAAUAGCAUGGAAUAAGAGUUUGAAAAGUGUUGAGAAAUCAGGCCUGUUUCUGCAACUACAAUUAUUCACUCACUCAUAUACAUUCAUUCAAAUAUUAUAAAUACAUAUUGUUAUCUAAUACAUAUUAUACAGUUGGCCUGCAAAAGCCAUCCUAAACUUUGGGUGACUUAUGUGAGUAUGUGUGUGUGUGUCUGUGUCUGUGUUUCUGUGUCUAAUUCUACUCACUAAAACAUGUACUCACAAAGCAUCCUGAAAUAAAGUAUAUUUAACAUGAAUAUUUAAAUAAAUAUGUGCAAAAGUCAGAAACCAGGGUAUUUCACUUAAUAGAAAGAAUCAAUUGCAGAGCUUCUGCUACAUCUGCUUGAAUCUGGUCUUGUAGCUUAGAAGUAAAGAUAGCAUUUAUGAACCCUGGGUUGUUCCAAAUUGCAUUCCUCAGGGGGCAACAUCAAAACAGCCCCCCUCAACACCGCACGGGGACAACCGUUCAUCUAACGAAACUUGAGUGGUUUUCAUGGGUGAUGGGUUGACAUAUCACCCUUGACACAUGGCACUUGGGGAACAUGCUUGACCCAGCCUUACAGCCCUCCAGGUGAUGCAGGGUCGUGGACAGCCACAGCCAUGCCCACUAAGCCCUCUGGAACCAGGGGUGAUAGUCUUUGUGGAUCUGGAUCCCAGGGGCUCAGAAAGUGGACUAAAUAUGAGUCUUGAGCAAAAGUGUAAAGUACACAUUGCUCACUGGUAACAUGUGGAGGAGCUGGUUGUGGUUUUUAAUGUGGCCUUUGUGGAGGAGGGUGGGAAAAGCAUCAGAAAAGGUUAACUGGGCCUGUGUCCUGUGAAGGAAACUGUGCUUUAAGACUUAGAACUGUUUCUACCUUUGACCAGGGCCUUUCAGCUUAACACCGAAACAUACUGAAAAGUAGAGCGGCAGAUGGACUUUUUCCUUGGCAGAAUGGCUCCAAAUUCUAGGCUUUUUGAUUUUUUAGCAUUUUUCAUUCGAUACAAGUAUUUUAAUUCAAUACUUUAUGUAUACAUGGCUUUGAACCUUUAACCCCCAGGAUGCAUGUGACACAAUCAUCAUAAUCCUUUGGCGGUAUCUACAUUUGGGGGAGAAAUUCACUUGUUACACAAAUAAACGUUCUGAUGUCUGACUCUUCACAGCCUCUUCCCUUGCAUGGCCCCUGGGCAUCCAGGGCCUGGCACCAGCAGUCAACAGAUGCAGGACGUGGUGUGAGGACCAGGAAGGGAGUGGGGCGCAGCCACAGAACGAAGAGGCUGGCAAGGCUGGAAGAUUGAUUUCCACAGAAAAGACCACAGAACCACUUCUCAGGGGCAUGGUCUGAAGAUCCAGCAGAACUUUGAGGGAGAGAGACAGAGGUGGGAGGGGCCUCCGGAAACACCUCCGGAGAACUUUUAAACUUUUGCUGUAAGAGUUGGGGAGCAAAUUUCUUACUUUGUUACCUCUUACAAAGAAUUCAGGAAACAGGUUUUAUUAAAGACUCUGGAAACUGGUGCUCAUGUUUCUUUUGAGGAAGCAGAUUAGAGAGGGGAAAAAAGACCUAGGGUCCUUUGGGGUGCACCUUGUUCUCAGAGCAAAGCGCAGUUUAAAUAAAGGCAUGGGUAUCACUGAUCGAAAAUGAAGAAAUGGGAGUUUCCUUGUGGCACAGUGAGUUAAGGAUUCAGCACUGUCACUGCAGUAGUUCAGGUUGCUGCUGUGCUGUGGGUUUGGUCUCUGGCUUGGGAACUUCCACAUGCUGUGGACAUGGCCAAUAAAAAAGUAUAGCAAGCGUUCAUUCUUUUUUUUUUUUUUUUUCUAACUCUCUCUCUUUUUGCAGAGGCUAUGCCCGAGACAUAAAGACAUGCCCAAGCCAGGGAUCAAACCUGUGCCACAACAGCGACCUGAGGCACAACAAUGAAAACUCCAGAUCCUUAACUGCUAUGCCACUAGGAAACACUAGUGUUGGCUAUAUUUAUUGUUAGCAAUCAUUUGCUUGGGAAACAUAACUGAUGAUAAUGAGCCAGGAAGUCCUAAUAUAGUACUGUAAGAAGUUCCAGGUUUCCCUAGCUUUUUUUAAAUUAGGACUUAAUACUCAGGAUUUAAUUUUAAUGUUCUUACUUUAUCAUCAAGUGGUAUUUAUUAUAUCACUUUAUCCCAUGGUGAGCAAAUCAUGUCUUCAGCCUUAGGAAACCAUAGUCAUAAUUGGGCAGCAGAGACUAACCCUCGGGAUGUAUGUCAUUUAUGCAGCACUAAUGGAUAGAAGGAAGGAAAGAAGGAGAGAGAGAGAAAGAAAGAAGGAAAUAAAAGGAGAGGAAGGAAGAAACCAGACAGUGAGAUUUUCACAGGUAAAAAUUACAAACACUUCCUUGCUCUUGGCUCCCGGUUUUCUCUGAGCACCACUGUGUGCCAGGCACAGUCCAGGUAGCUAAGAUGCAGCAGCAAACAAAGCAGAGGAUAAGUUCAGCUUUCAUGGAGCUCCCAUCCUUUUGAAGGUUGAAUAUUUUUAAAAAUGAAUACAAAAUAGCACUAGGAAA
Molecule: long non-coding RNA, 5247 nt
Filed under: Sus scrofa (pig)
Lineage: Eukaryota; Metazoa; Chordata; Mammalia; Artiodactyla; Suidae
Description: lncRNA (ENSSSCG00060004990.1)
Source: RNAcentral